RNAcentral lists this long non-coding RNA (4848 nucleotides) under Sus scrofa (pig). Its description in RNAcentral is "lncRNA (ENSSSCG00000063487.1)". Lineage: Eukaryota; Metazoa; Chordata; Mammalia; Artiodactyla; Suidae. The record is from RNAcentral.
CCUAAAAGAUAAGAAAUAAAAAAAGACUAUAAUGCUAAUGGAAUGCGGUGAUGUGUGUGAGCAAAGCACUGCCCAAUAGAGCCUAUGGAAGAAAUGGAGAGAAGACAUUCAAUUAACAUUUGUGGAAAGGAACUAUUCCUACUGAUGGCUGGAUGUUGGGUUUGCAGCUUUUGCCUGGUUAGAUUUGGGUUCAAUUUCCCCCCAUCUCCUCCUUCUCCCAUCUGACUUGUGCUUGGGUGGUGGAUUAAUCACAGCGAACACUAACUGAAGGCCUAGUAUAUGCUAGAUUAGUCCUUCUCAAAGCUCGCCCCCCUCCACUCCCGACAGACUGUAGCAACAUCUCCUGAAAUGCAAAUUAGAAAGGCAAAUUCUUGAGCCUCGCCCCAGACGGACUGAUUCAGAAACUCCCGGCAUGGCCCAGUGACUAGUAUUUUAAUAAGUCCUCUGGCGACAUGAAUGCAUGCUAAAUCCAGUGUGUGCAGUGUUUUACCUGAGCGCCUCACUUAAUUCCACAAAAGCCUAAGGAAGCAGGGGUUAAGAGCUCUGAUUUACAGAGGAGAAACCAGUUCAGAGACGUUAGUGACUCAGCCCAGAUCCCCACCUGGCAAGGAACUCUGGGUCUGCGGGACCCCCUGCACCAUUGCCCUUCCCGCCACUGUCAAAACACCUCCCAGAAGUGGGUGUUUUUGUUCCCAGAGGGCUUCCCACGUGGGAGGCAGGAGUGACUGGUAAAGAUGGAGUAUUUCCCAAGCCUGGCUGAAUAGACCUGUUGUGGUGACGGAGGAUGACGACACCGUCAAUGACGCAUUGAGCUCCUACUGCUUGAAGGCAUUGUUUUAGAGGUUUUGCAAUUUAGCCUCCACCCAGCGUCAUUAUGGCGCUUUUACAGAGGAGAAAAAACUGAGGCUCAGAGAGGCUCCGGGACAAAAGCUCACAAGGCAAGGGGCAGGGCUCUGGCUCGCCCAGCUGGAAGGAUCUUUCCCUCGAAUAUACUUCCCUCUAGAAGCUACUUCUCCGAGUCAGGCACAUCUGGGCCUGGCUUCUCUGCACCCAGGCCCACUGUCCCUCCCAGCUCCCUGCCCAGGAAGACAGCCGGCUGGAACCCACCAGCGCGCGGGUGGCAAGAGCGAGAGACACCUGAGCCAGAGGUGCCCCAGAGGGACCUGGCAGCGGCCACACGAUGGCGCUGCGGUUCAGGAGACUGGGGUCCUGCCUGACACCGUCUCCGAGGACCGAAGACCAGGACGCAGGACCUUGGGGGGAUGGGACCCAUCAGAACAGAGCUGCCCUCGCAAAGGACUCGACCCCGAGGGCGCAGAAAGAGGUCGUUGAGAAUGCUCUUCCACUUCCACGGCACCGGGAUCCCUCUCCCCUCCGUCCUCCUUCCCGCCUGGGGAACCGAGGCCUCUACAGGGAGCGCAGGACCCCGCGGCUGGCCUGGGACUCCGCAGUGACUCUCAGGCAGCACCCAGGAAAACUGUUUCUCCCUUCCUGGCCCUCCCUUCCUCUUUCCCCCUCAGCUCCUCCCCGGCCCAGCCAGCCUGUCCCAGCCCACUGCUCUCAUAUAUUAUAAUUUUCAAAAAUUGAAAUAUAGUGGAUUUAACAAUAUUUUAUAACAUCGUGUUGGUUUCAGGUGCACUGAGUGAUUGACUUCUAUAUAUAUCUUUUUUCAGAGUAUUUUCCAUUAUAGGUCAUUAUAAGAUAUUGAAUAUGGUCAUUAUAAGAUAUUGAAUAUAGCUUAAAUUAUAAUUUAAGCAUGCUCACAAUUUGAAGGGUUUUUUGUUUUUGUGUUUUUUAGGGCUGCACCUGCGGCACAUGGAGGUUCCCAGGCUAGGGGUCUAAUCGGAGCUGUAGCCGCCGGCCUUCGCCAGAGCCACAGCAAUGCAGGAUCCGAGCCGUGUCUGCGACCUACACCACAGACCACGGCAACGCCCAUGGCAACGCCGGAUUCUCAACCCACUGAGGGAGGCCAGGGAUCGAACCUGCAACUUCACGGUUCCUAGUCGGAUUCAUUAACCACUGCGCCACGAAGGGAACUCCUGAAGAUUUUAACUACUGCAAAACUAAACCCCAAAAAUCAUCUCCUCACUAUAAGGUGUGCUUCUACUUUAAAACUCAUCCAUUGAAUUUCCCUCUUGAUAUCAAAAAUAAGUGCCUUCUGUCACCUCUCAUUCCCAAAGUCCUUUCCCAUCUUUUAAGAAAAACAUGCUUGGUGAGGCGCAAUUUUGAGUGCAAGUCCUGGAUCUGCUGUUAAAAAUCAGGUGACGCCAAACAAGUUUUUUAAUCUCCUUGAGACUCAUUCUUCUCAUCCAUAAAAUGGGACUAAUACUAGUACCCACCUCAUAGGUUAUUGGGAGAAUUACCUAUGUACAUAUCAUUAGGAAUAGUGCUUGGACACAUAGGAAGUGCUCAAUACAUGUUAUUCUUACUCUCUUUUCCUCUGACACACUGUGCCCAGCAGGCCUUUGGCAUUCAGGGCAGACAGCCUUGUGCUUUUGGCUGAUUUUUCUUAUAGGAUGUCCCUUGGCCAGAGGGCUGUCUUAUCUACCUCUGUGCACAGCGCAGGCCCUCACUUUGUGCCUGGUAAUUAGAGUGGGUCAUGUUGGUCAUAACAAACCACAGCCUCCAGCUACAAUUCUGCAUCCAUCUCAUCUUCUCCCGGAGUUGAGUUCUUACCUAGGGCGGCAGGUGCAAUUGCUGAGUGCUCCCCUUCUCUGCUGUGGGGUGCUUGGUGCCCAGUUUUGAGGGAUGAGAGCCUUUUAUUCUCCUCUAGGUUAGGGAGUCCCUCCUGCUCCCUGUGGCUGAGGUGGGGGGGCUGGUCUAGAAGGAGGGGUGGCACUAAAGCUUGUUUUGUUUCCACUUAGGAUUGGAGAGACUCUGUAUUCUAUAUAAAGACCUGCUUGGCAGAGAAGAAGCUGGCUCUAGAACUUUGGCUUCUAGAACCUUAGCCAGAUCAAGACAGUGUGGCGAGUUCCCGCUGUGGCACAGUGGGUUAAGAACCUGACUGCAUUGACUCGGGUUGCUGCAGAGAUGUGGGUUCGAGCCAUGGCCGGCACAGGGGGUUAAAGGAGCCGGUGUUGCCACAGCAGAGGCAUAGGUCUCAGUUACGGCUCGGAUUCAGUCCCUGGCCUGGGAAUUUCCAUAUGUCAUGGGUGCAGCCAUAAAAUUAAAAAAAAAAAAAAAAAGAGGUGUGCUGGGCAUGACCACGUGGGUUGACAAGUCAGGUUGUAGAUGUUUGUUUCUCGCGUUGUUAUUAUUUAUAUAUUUCCUGACUUCUUCAUCUCUAAGAGUCGGAUCUUUCUUCAGUCUCUCUGUCUUACACUAACGUGGCAAAAGGCCUUGCUAGCUGUGUGUGAUCAUUCCAUAUGCAUCGACUGACUGUCUGACAGAUUGGCUCUGGGGUCGCGACCAAGCUGGAUCUUGAGCAGAUCUUUAAAGAAUCUGUGAUCCAGCUCUUUGGAUUCCAUUAGAAAGACCCUGGUGAAGCUGUUCGCAGAUCACUCCGGGGUCAAUAAAAUCACACUGUGCAAAUGAGAGUCUUGGAAGUGGAGAGUGACUUGGGAUGGAAAGAGCUUCUAGUUCAUUUGGGAAGCCUUCCGGGUUUGGGGCGGUGUUGGGGUGGGGGGAGCGGGUGAAGCCGUAAUUAAAACGGAUGCUGUUUGACAAAGUGAGAGGAGGGUGUGGUUUUUAGGCCAUAACCACCCCCCCUUUCCUGAUUCAGGUCCUCACUUGAGUCACUCCAGAGUUCCCCUGCCAGCCCUGGGAACGUUCCCGUGUGUGAUAUCUCUCGGGAAGCCUGCUGAGUUUCCUGGAAAACAUCAUCCAGAGAGUCAGUCCUCCCCUCCUCCUCCCUCCCGUAUCUUUCUUAGAAACCCUACCUGUUUGCAGCUGGGAAAUGAAUGGAUUAGAGGUUGAGGAUUAAGCAAUAACCAAAUACUAGUUUUGGGUGCCCUGGUUAUUUUCUUGUCAGCGUUCCUUACGGCCAUCUACCCUCUGGGCCAGGACACAGUCAAACACAUGUGAGUCCAGCCCAGGGCAAGGAAGGCUGGGGGGCUCUUGGGCGAUCUGAUGUCUUGCUCAGCUGGCAGAGGAGGCUGGCGCAGCCAGUGCACUCAAGUCCUCAUCUUCCUCUUUCCCUCUUGGGACUUUGAGAAGGACUCUAAGCCGUGUGUCUCUGAUUCAUUUGCUAUGGACUCAUCAAGCUGGUGUUUGGCAGGAGUCCUUGGAUGUCUUGGAAAGGCUCUGGGGUUUGGUGUCAUUUGGGUUUUGUCAUGCGUUUCCUUUGAAAUAGGAAGUCUGCUUUUGCCAAGAAGAAAGCACUAGAUUUGAGAUUGGCUCAGAGCACAAGAAGAAAUUAAGAUUCUGUCCCUUGCAUUUCCCUGUUUUAAACUGUGCAAUACAAACAAAUAUUAGUAAUAUCUAACCUUUAAUUUUCUCAGUUGGGUCCUAUUAUUAUUCCCAUUUUACAAAUGAUAAAACUGAACCCAAAGAAGUCAAGUAAAUUGCCCAGUCCAUCUAGCUAGCCUUAUACAUCUAGCUAGCCUUAUACAUCUGCAUGGUGUCAAGGGCCCAUAGUACUUUGGGAGUCUUACAAAAAUGUUGCUUUGUUUUUUUUUUUAAAUCAGAAAAAAGGAGUUCUGUUGUGGUACAGUGGAAACAAAUCCGACUAGGAACCACGAGGUUGCAGAUUUGAUCCCUGGCCUUGCUCAGUGGGUUAAGGAUCCGGCGUUGCCAUGAGCUGUGGUGUAGUUUGCAGAUGCUGCUUAGAUCCAGCACGGCUGUGGCUGUGAUGUAAGCCUGCGGCUACAGCUCCAAUUUGACCCCUAGCCUGGGAACCUCCAUAUGCAG